RNAcentral lists this transfer RNA (119 nucleotides) under Enterobius vermicularis (human pinworm). It matches the Rfam family "tRNA". From Rfam's summary of the family: Transfer RNA (tRNA) molecules are approximately 80 nucleotides in length. Their secondary structure includes four short double-helical elements and three loops (D, anti-codon, and T loops). Further hydrogen bonds mediate the characteristic L-shaped molecular structure. tRNAs have two regions of fundamental functional importance: the anti-codon, which is responsible for specific mRNA codon recognition, and the 3' end, to which the tRNAs corresponding amino acid is attached (by aminoacyl-tRNA synthetases). tRNAs cope with the degeneracy of the genetic code in two manners: having more than one tRNA (with a specific anti-codon) for a particular amino acid; and 'wobble' base-pairing, i.e. permitting non-standard base-pairing at the 3rd anti-codon position. Lineage: Eukaryota; Metazoa; Nematoda; Chromadorea; Rhabditida; Oxyuridae. The record is from Rfam by way of RNAcentral.
GCACGGAUGGCCGAGUGGUCUAAGGCGCCAGACUCAAGCGACUGCUUCGUGCGAGUGAGCACGGUUCUGGGUGUUCUGGUAUCGUUAUCGAUGCGUGGGUUCGAAUCCCACUCCGUGCA